RNAcentral lists this small RNA (1277 nucleotides) under Pan troglodytes (chimpanzee). RNAcentral's name for it is "retained intron". Lineage: Eukaryota; Metazoa; Chordata; Mammalia; Primates; Hominidae. The record is from RNAcentral.
GUUUUUGUUGUUGGUGAAAGGUGAGGGGAACAGCUGAUCCGUCUGUUGGGAGGACAGAUAUCUCAAGGCCAGGAUGGAAGAAUCACCACUAAGCCGGGCACCAUCCCGUGGUGGAGUCAACUUUCUCAAUGUAGCCCGGACCUACAUCCCCAACACCAAGGUGGAAUGUCACUACACCCUUCCCCCAGGCACCAUGCCCAGUGCCAGUGACUGGAUUGGCAUCUUCAAGGUGGAGGCUGCCUGUGUUCGGGAUUACCACACAUUUGUGUGGUCUUCCGUGCCUGAAAGUACAACUGAUGGUUCCCCCAUUCACACCAGUGUCCAGUUCCAAGGAGCUCAGCUCUACCAGUUCCGAUAUGUGAACCGCCAGGGCCGGGUGUGUGGGCAGAGCCCCCCUUUCCAGUUCCGAGAGCCAAGGCCCAUGGAUGAACUGGUGACCCUGGAGGAGGCUGAUGGGGGCUCUGACAUCCUGCUGGUUGUCCCCAAGGCAACUGUGUUACAGAACCAGCUCGAUGAGAGCCAGCAAGAACGGAAUGACCUGAUGCAGCUGAAGCUGCAGCUGGAGGGACAGGUGACAGAGCUGAGGAGCCGAGUGCAGGAGCUCGAGAGGGCUCUGGCAACUGCCAGGCAGGAGCACACGGAGCUGAUGGAACAGUACAAGGUGGGAGCUGGGCCAGGUAGGGGACAGGGCCUGGCUGCUCACCCAGCAUCCAAAAUCUGAACCCAGUGAAGAGGGUGAAGGAGAGAUGUUAGUGGGCUUUUACAAUGGUUCUGGCAUCAAGGAAAUAGGUUUAAGGGGUAGUGGCUGGGAUUAAACUUGAUGUGACAAGAGACAUGUUCCAAACUUGUAAUGAGACUCAGUUCUUUGAACAUAGGAAUGCUGGGGUAAGGUGGAGGUGGCCACAUUGAUAGGUAAGGGAAUGUUCCCUUACAGUUUCUUUUUCAAGGAAGGCAAUGUGAUAGCCAGGUGGAAGCAGUCAGACCCUGGUGUGCUCUUCCUAAGCCUUUGUUCCACCACUUGAGAGAUGAGUCCCAACCUCCCUUUUCUUCUGGGGGAAACUUAAUUUCAGGGGAUUUCCCGGUCCCAUGGGGAGAUCACAGAAGAGAGGGACAUCCUGAGCCGGCAACAGGGAGACCAUGUGGCACGCAUCCUGGAGCUAGAGGAUGACAUCCAGACCAUCAGUGAGAAAGUGCUGACGAAGGAAGUGGAGCUGGACAGGCUUAGAGACACAGUGAAGGCCCUGACUCGGGAACAAGAGAAGCUCCUUGGGCAACUG